CCUACGGGUGGCUGCAGUGAGGAAUAUUGGUCAAUGGGCGAGAGCCUGAACCAGCCAAGUCGCGUGAAGGAUGACGGCCCUACGGGUUGUAAACUUCUUUUGUCAGGGAGCAAUUGAGUCCACGUGUGGUCUUAGCGAGAGUACCUGAAGAAAAAGCAUCGGCUAACUCCGUGCCAGCAGCCGCGGUAAUACGGAGGAUGCGAGCGUUAUCCGGAUUUAUUGGGUUUAAAGGGUGCGUAGGCGGAAUAUCAAGUCAGCGGUAAAAUGUCCGGGCUCAACCCGGGCCGGCCGUUGAAACUGGGGAUCUUGAGUGGGCGAGAAGUAUGCGGAAUGCGUGGUGUAGCGGUGAAAUGCAUAGAUAUCACGCAGAACUCCGAUUGCGAAGGCAGCAUACCGGCGCCCGACUGACGCUGAGGCACGAAAGCGUGGGGAUCGAACAGGAUUAGAUACCCCUGUAGUC
This 460-nucleotide ribosomal RNA is filed under the name uncultured bacterium. RNAcentral's name for it is "partial 16S ribosomal RNA". It matches the Rfam family "Bacterial small subunit ribosomal RNA", at positions 338 to 795 of the family's 1533-position model. The record is from RNAcentral.